CUCAUUCAUAGGUUUGAUAAUCUUCAGUAAAUCUUUGAAUUGGCUGCACUUAGGACACCACCACUCGCUACACUAUAAUUACCAAGUGAUUUUACUCAAAAAUGACUCAAAAAUCAUAAAAAAUCAAUUUUACGUGAAUGCAUUAUCUUUGUUGCACAUGACCACGUGGGUCUGACAGAUGGGUAAAACAUUACAUCCUACUUAUGUUUUUGAAAUCAUCAUAUUAUAAUACAUAAUUCUUUAUCUCAUCAUCUGAAUCUACUGCUGAAGAUGGAUUUACGGACUGAUGGCUAUUGUUUGGUUUCGUAUUGCUAGUCCCUGCCUUAAGAG
This is a long non-coding RNA of Acyrthosiphon pisum (pea aphid), 330 nucleotides long. RefSeq lists it as uncharacterized. The record is from RefSeq and is a predicted model, not a curated record. NCBI's taxonomy places the organism in Eukaryota, Metazoa, Arthropoda, Insecta, Hemiptera, Aphididae. The transcript is spliced from 3 exons.